UCUGUUCUUUAGCAUGGGGAGAGCCUUAAGUCAUGGUUUCACCCUUGAUCAAUAAUCUUUCUGUUCCACCAUGGUAAUUAAUGGGAUGUUUGGCUCUGCUAUCACAAGGUUUGUUGAGCUUGUUUUGAAUUAUUGUGCAUUAUGAUUCAAGUUGCAAAAAGCCCUACUCGUAUUGGCUUUUAAAAAGGGAUACAUUGGUUCAUGGACUCAAACAGGAUGGAGGUAUUUGGCGCUUCGAGAGUUGUUGGAUUUAGGGCUCCAAUCAGGUCAUGGCAAUAUGCCCUACCCACCCUCAGGCCUCCCCCUCCCCCCCGUUGUAUUGCAUGGCAUGAGCCCAACGCUGUGUCCUCUUGGCAACGCCCUGGUAGUUCUGUGCUGGAGGUUCUUCUCUUUGUUCUGCAUUUUUUGUUUGUUGACUCCUUCUCAGCGGCCUCCCUUCAUAGCAGUAAAAGUGCUGUGGUAGCUCCUCUCCCCAUAUCUUCCCCUCACCAAAACCAAUAAAGAACAGAGGACUUUCUUCUCCCAGAAGCCCCAGGAAAAGUCCCAUCAUGAUUCACUGGCUCUGAUAGAGUCACAGGCCCAGCCCCGAGCCAAUAACUGAGGUCAGGGUAACACUGAUAUGCUCAUUGGCUCAUGGCUCGUCAGAGUUGGCAGCUUCUUCUGAACCUGUCAAAUGGUGGUGGGGUUGGGGGCUGGGGAGGUGGAGGGGGGCCAGGCACGGCUGACAGUGGGGAUGUUACAAGGGUUAGCUCCCUGGCUAGGUGGCACCCUCUCUUACAAGGCAGCAUAUCACAGUAGUUGAGAGUGUUGAGUAUGGAGCCUAAUGACCUUGGUUCCAAUAUGGGUGUAGCUAUGCCAUUUAAGGGCUAGGUGACCUUGGACAAGUUACCAAACCUCGUUGGGCCUCAGCUUCCUCAUCUGAAAAGUGGGGGAUGAUAGCAAUGUCCCCCCUAAGAUUGUCGUGACAUAAAUUUGAUUAUAUAUGCAUAAAACACUUGGAACAGAGAUUAGUAUGGGAUAAGAUCUAAAGUCUUCACCAUGACUGAGAGAGACUUAAUGAUCCUGAGGAGAAUGUAGGGGAAAUGUUCUGCAUAGCAAGUAUUGAAUAAAGGGCACGAGGUAAAGUGAUGGGAAGUUACCCCUUUAUUAGCUCAUCCAUCUCAGUAUGGACAGAAGAGCUUCCAGGUUCCGUACGUGCCCGUGAUGGGGUGUGGUUUACAUGGAGGAGACCUGGGGUGAGGUCAUAGCUGGAGAAUGCCAUUAAGGACAACCCGUUGUGAGAUUUGAUUCACAGACAUUGUUCUAGAACUUUAGACUCUGAUUCAUGGUUUUGCUGCCAGCCUUGGGAGCAGCAGCCGCUUCAGUUUGCGAUGAAACAUGCUGAUUUAUAAAACCAUUUAUAGCUCUCCUCCGUGCUUCACACAGCCAUGCCACAAAUGACUCAGAUAGGUCAACAUCCUAACUCUUCAGGAAAACUUUCCUAGAUCCUUCUGAUCUAGAUGUUCCUCCUCUUGGCUCCCUUGAGUCCACCAUUCCUGGAGAAACUGUUGCAGUUGGACGGUGAGCACUGAUUUACUUGUUUGUCGUCCUCACUCAUGUAGAAGCCGGGCAGAGACCCUGUCCGACUAGACUCACUAUCACCAGUGGCUAAUAGGUAAGUCCGCAGUGAAUUGAUGAAUACGUAUUUACUGAGCACCUACUGUUGCGGUGACUGUACUGUACUCUACUAGGCUUUUGGGACACCAAAAUCUUGUUUCUUUAAAGAUUGUAAUUUAGUGGAAAGAUGCACACAAGGCUAAUAAUUGCAUGUACUAUACAAUCUAGAACUGAUCAGUGCUUUGAGGGAAAACAACAGGAUGUUAGGAGACUGUGCAGUGGGAGGACACAGAGGUUGAAUAAACAGGACUUUUGCCUGCGUAGGAAUGUGGAGGGAAAAUUGCAAAGGCUUUCUGGUAAGAGACUUUGAGGUGUACUAAAUGAGUCAGUAGAUAUGUGAGGGAGUGGGGCAGAGGAGAAAGGGACCUAGCCUGCUUGGUCAUCACUGGGCAUCUGUUGACGUGGCUCGUUCUGUGUCCUUCUCCAGGUGAUAAUGCCCUGAGUCUUCUUCUUUGGAAUCCAAGCCUUCCUCAUUUCCCUUCUGACCUAUGCCUUCUCUGGUAAUGGGCAUUUGACUAGUGAUCAUGUGAUUAGUCUAGGGAUGAAUGUGAACCUAGGUCAAGUCUGGGAGUCUCAGCAAAAAUAUGAAGAAAGACACAUUUCUUUCACCACUUAGGAGUUUGUGUUCAAAAGAAAAGGGAAAAGAUAGAUGGAGACUCAUAGAUUCCUGAUGAUUUUUUUCAGCACCUGGAUCCAGCCGUGCCUAGAACUCCGUGGAUACAGUUGUGUCUAAAUCCACAUAUAUAGAAGGGCACCUUGGUGGCUCAAUCAGUUGAGUGUCCAACGCUUGAUUUCGGUUUUUAGGGUUGUGAGAUCGAGCCCUGUGCCAAGCGGGCAGUCUGCUUGGGAUUCCCUCUCCCUCUGCUUCUCCCCCUCUUAGGCUCUCUCUGCCUCUCUCUCUCUCUCAAAUAAAUAAAUAAAUUUUUAUAAAUUCACAUAUGUAUGGUUCUCAGCUAUUGGCUAAACAAUUCUCCCAUCCUUCUAUUUGGCUUAAGCUCAUUCUCACAGGGUUUUGGUUACUUGCAACUAAAAGGGUCUCUAUUAAUACAGUGAUUUUAACUGAUAUCACUCAUUUGCUAAAGCCAGAGGGGGCGGGCACCUAGGUCGGUUGCUGGAGCAUCUGACUCUUGGUUUUGGCUCAGGUCAUGAUCUCAGGGUUGUGGGAUCAGGCCCUGCAUCAGGGCUCCUUGCUCAGCAUGGAGUCGGCUUGAGAUUCUCUUCCUCUGGCCCCCAAACCCCACAGGCUCUCACUCUCUGUCUUUAAAAUAAAUAGAUACAUCUUUAAAAAUAUAUAUAUAGCCAAAGAGGGUGUGGGUAAAGGUGAGCUGAAGCCACCGUGGAGGUCAGUUAGCGGCAGAGGCAGCCUAAACCCCGCAGUUCCUCUGCUGAGAGGGAUUUCCCUGAGCCCUUGGGGUCUGCAGCCUCUGCCCCGAGUCCAGACCCUUGGGUCGGCGUCAGUGUGUCAGCAGCUGGGAACAGAUGCACUGAGGGACGACGCUACAGAGCUUCCCGGACUCUGGCAGGGCAUGGAGGCCCGGGUACCCAACGUGCUGGAAAACCACGGUGUGCCUCUGCAUUGGAGGAAUGAGGGACAACCCUGGUUCAAGAGCCAGCUCGGCAGGCAAACUGGUUUUUGCUGGACCUGCAGAGCCAGAAGCUGGGACUGUCGGUGGCUUCUGUGAGCACCAGCACUGGCGGGUCACAGCUGCCAUCUAGCGCCAGAGGUCACCUUUUGCAAGUUGUUUACUGGUUCUUUCCAGCUGGAAGGCUCUUGAGGGCCAAUUGGAAGAAGGUCAUUACCUCUGUCCUUAAGUCAGGAAGAACCUGAAAAUCAGAUUUUUUAAAAAAUAUUUUAUUUAUUUAUUUAUUCAUGAGACACAUAGAGAGAGAGGCAGAGACAAAGGCAGAGGGAGAAGCAGGCUCCAUGCAGGGAGCCCAAUGCGGGACUCGAUCCCAGGACCCCGGGAUCAGCCCUGAGCCAAAGGCAGACGCUCAACCGCUGAGCCACCCAGGUGUCCCUGAAAAUCAGAUUUGUGAUAUUGUCUCUCAUUUAGCUUAUUACAGAUGCCGUCCCAGAGCAUAAUUGAUUGGAUAGGGUGAAAGGUCAACCAUUCCACGAUGUUAACCUUCAGUCUCAUUUCAAACUAGGUAGGUAGGAAGGUAGGUAGGUGAUAGAUAGAUAGAUAGAUAGAUAGAUAGAUAGAUAGAUAGAUAGAGGAUAGAAAAUUUAAAAAAUAAAUCCUGUAAUGGUGAGAUUUAUGAUUCAGAGUUUUGGCAAGAAGCAGGUCGCGCACUCCAAAGCAGGGACUGGGGAGAUACGAAGGUGUGGGAAGGAGCCCAGGGAGCAGUCAAGGCCUGGGGAAGCGUGCCACGGUUAUGGCCGCAGGAAGCAACAACAACUCAGGUCUGAUGGAGCAAAAAGAGGGAGAGGACCCCGCAGGGUUUGUUCUAUGGAAGAGGCCACGUGACCCGUGCUACUGGGUGCCAACCACCGGUUCUUGGUUGGGUUCUUGAGAAGCACGCUAAGAGGAGCAUUCACGUGUAAGUAGUUUAUUAAGGGCAGAUGGGAAGUGAGGUGGGAGAGGCAGGGCAGUGGAGGUGAGAGAGCCAGGCCAGGUGUGCCCCCAGGCAAAGUCCUACAGGGGUCACCUCAGCCUGAUGCUGCAGGAGAGCUCCGGGGGGCUGCCUGGAAGCAGAGAGCCUUGGCAUUGAAACUCUCCACCUGCCAGUCACCUCGGCGGUCAGGUGGGAAGGAAGGGGAAGAAGCAUGGAAGUAACCUAGGCCCUGGGCCUUCUGAGUGUUCAGGUAGGGUGAAGGGCUGACCCUGGGGCUCUGAGAACACGGCCUGCAUGUGGCCAGUAGAUGCCGGAGUCAGAGGAGAACGCUGAAAGUUCAAAGGGAUCCAAAGGGAUCUUGGUGAAGCAACGACGUCUCCCCAUGUGAGGAUGGGAGCUAAUGAGAUGUGGGAUGUCAGUUGACUCCUGAAGACCACAGGUACGUGUAGGGCAGAAGGUGAUGCUCAGGAAAGAUACAGGGAGAGCCUCAGGACACAAUCAGAUGACAUUCUCAGCCAAUCCGAAGGGAGCCCUGCAGCAAACGUUGACCACGAGAGGAGUCAUGCACUGUGCAGGGCUGACCAGGGACUAGCACUCCUUGCCAUGUCCCGCUGUCAGCUGGUAGUUGACGUGGAAGGACACGGAUCCUGAAGGUGGUACAACUGGAGGCCCAGCCACUGGUGCUCCUUGAACUUGAAUAACAACUUCUUUUGGAAGGGGGAUCCAAACGGAGCACCUCCACAGCUGCCACACUUAAUGCAACGGAGCGUAUCUGGUUGCCUCAGCCAUCUCCCUAACACCGAGAAGGACGAGCCUGCUUGGCAGGAGUACGGGAACAAGGGUCAGGGGAGAAAUAGGGUCCUGGUGGUUCACAUGAGCAUAUGGAUCCAGCUGUGCCUGAGGCCCAUCCUAUGCUUGGCUUUCUUGGUUAUGUGAACUAAUAAAUAUGCUUUGCCUAAGCCAUUUAGAGCUUGGGAUCCCUGUUUCAGCAAAAGAAAGGUUCCUGAUAAUUCACUCCCUGAGCUUCAUUUUACUUACCUGUAAAAUGAGGCUCCCGAAGCCACCUUGCCGGGUUUGAGGAGGAAGAGGGACAAUUAAUGUAAAGCACAGGCACAGAGUAGCUGCCCAGUAAAUAGCCUCGGACAAAGCAAAGGAGGCAAAGCAUGGAAUGGACAUCUCUGGAAGCCCCUCUGUGUCCGGGGCUGGCCAGGGGGCUGAGUCCAGUACUCGGCAAAGACCAGUGCUGGGCUUGGACCGUCCACAGGUAUCCAGCUGUAACGGAGGACUGGCCUCUUGAGUCGCUGUGAGCCUGGGGCUUCUCUGCAAUGAGUGGUCCCUGACCCAGCGCGUUAUUGUCCAUGUAGGAGGAAAAGAAAGUCUUCUUUCUGGCCAAAGAUGAAGAUUCUCAUCCUCUUUUUCGUGGCCUGGACAGUUCUUUGAAUUUUUAUUUGUUAUUGUUGUUUGCAAACUAUUCCUUUGGAGAAGUGUGCAAGGUUUAUAACAAAAUAAAAAGAAUAAAUAUGACCACA
Canis lupus familiaris (dog) is the source of this 5741-nucleotide long non-coding RNA. RefSeq lists it as uncharacterized. The record is from RefSeq and is a predicted model, not a curated record. The transcript is spliced from 2 exons. NCBI's taxonomy places the organism in Eukaryota, Metazoa, Chordata, Mammalia, Carnivora, Canidae.